UUCCUCCGUAGUUGUCGCCGCCGUCGGUGAUGUCUCUUCUGACGGAACAAUCUACUUAAUCGGCGGAGCCAUCGCCGUUGCACUCGUCGGAACUGCAUUUCCGAUCCUCUUCAAACGCAAAGACACGUAAACCACUCUCAUCUUUUUAUAUGUCUUGUGAAUUAAACCGGUUUUAAUGCUCGUUAAACCAAAAUUGGACUGAUUAAUUGCAGAAGAUUCCCAUAGUUUAUUGUCCGGUUCAACAUUCGAGUUAUCUUAACCGUACUAAAUCCUCUCUUAUGGAUAAACUCUUAACCGAUGUAGUAAACCGAAAGAGAGAUCGUACAUUGUGAAAUUAAGCUAUGAAAAUGUAUGGUUUAGGUGUCCGGAAUGUGACGGAGCAGGAUUUGUGAGGAAAGGAGGAGUGACUCUGAGAGCGAAUGCAGCACGCAAGGAUCUUCCUCAGAUCGUUUGUGCUAACUGCAAUGGACUGGGAAAGCUUAACCAGAUUGAUAAAUCAUAAGAGAGUCUUCAUAUUUAUGUAAAAGCUCCAUUUUUUAUUCCUCUUCUUCUCUACAAUAUACCUCUGCAAGAGAAGAUAGCUUGGAAUGAUCAAUGGUUGCUUGGAGAUGGAUGGAUAUAUAAUUUUAAUUGUAAGUUUAUUUGCUUUCUUGUUCUGUAAGAAAUUGUCUUGAGUAUUAUUGUAAUUGUAUACUGUAUUCGAAAUUGUAGACCAAGACCCAAACGUCUUAAAAAUAUCUAAAUGCUGGAUAAGUAAUUAGAGACUGUAACCAAAAUUGCCAAGACGAACAAUAAUCUAGUGCUGGCAAAUCCU
This 814-nucleotide long non-coding RNA is filed under the name Arabidopsis lyrata. Its description in RNAcentral is "long non-coding RNA (ALYR_LNC001136)". The record is from RNAcentral. Lineage: Eukaryota; Viridiplantae; Streptophyta; Magnoliopsida; Brassicales; Brassicaceae.